GCCCCCUCCCUUGGUCGCCGG
RNAcentral lists this microRNA (21 nucleotides) under Bos taurus (domestic cattle). RNAcentral describes it as "bta-miR-2328-5p". Lineage: Eukaryota; Metazoa; Chordata; Mammalia; Artiodactyla; Bovidae. The record is from miRBase by way of RNAcentral.